GGCUGUGUAGCCGAAUUGGCAUAGGCGAUGCACUCAAAAUGCAUGUCAUCUGUGGGUUCGAGUCCCACCACAGCUACCA
This 79-nucleotide transfer RNA is filed under the name Treponema sp. Its description in RNAcentral is "tRNA-Leu". It matches the Rfam family "tRNA". Rfam says of the family: Transfer RNA (tRNA) molecules are approximately 80 nucleotides in length. Their secondary structure includes four short double-helical elements and three loops (D, anti-codon, and T loops). Lineage: Bacteria; Pseudomonadati; Spirochaetota; Spirochaetia; Treponematales; Treponemataceae. RNAcentral also lists the same sequence under 1 other name. The record is from RNAcentral.